This 226-nucleotide long non-coding RNA is filed under the name Brassica rapa (field mustard). RNAcentral's name for it is "long non-coding RNA (BRAP_LNC004058)". The record is from RNAcentral. Lineage: Eukaryota; Viridiplantae; Streptophyta; Magnoliopsida; Brassicales; Brassicaceae.
UUAAGAACAACAAUGAAUGAAGACAAUCGAUUUAUAACUUAUUUAUGUCAAGCUCACGGAUCUAACACCCUAACACCCUAGACUAAGCAAGCUGACUACUCAGCCAUGGAGCAAGAAAACACAGAGACAGAGACUGAAUAAAACAUGUGUAGAUAAAAUAGAAUAAGGGUUCAAGGGGUUCUUCUCUAUGGUGAGAGAGAUGGAGCCUUCUCCCUUUACAAAGUAU